UACGUAGGGUGCAAGCGUUGUCCGGAAUUAUUGGGCGUAAAGAGCUCGUAGGCGGUUUGUCGCGUCUGCUGUGAAAUCCUCAGGCUCAACUCCGGAUCUGCGGUGGGUACGGGCAGACUAGAGUGAUGUAGGGGAGACUGGAAUUCCUGGUGUAGCGGUGAAAUGCGCAGAUAUCAGGAGGAACACCGAUGGCGAAGGCAGGUCUCUGGGCAUUAACUGACGCUGAGGAGCGAAAGCAUGGGGAGCGAACAGG
This 253-nucleotide ribosomal RNA is filed under the name uncultured bacterium. Its description in RNAcentral is "partial 16S ribosomal RNA". It matches the Rfam family "Bacterial small subunit ribosomal RNA", at positions 524 to 776 of the family's 1533-position model. The record is from RNAcentral.